This 429-nucleotide ribosomal RNA is filed under the name Bacteroidota bacterium. RNAcentral describes it as "Bacteroidetes bacterium partial 16S ribosomal RNA". It matches the Rfam family "Bacterial small subunit ribosomal RNA", at positions 355 to 776 of the family's 1533-position model. Lineage: Bacteria; Pseudomonadati; Bacteroidota. The record is from RNAcentral.
UAGGGAAUCUUCCGCAAUGGACGCAAGUCUGACGGAGCAACGCCGCGUGAGUGAAGAAGGAUUUCGGUUCGUAAAACUCUGUUGUUAGAGAAGAACAGCGCAUAGAGUAACUGUUAUGCGUGUGACGGUAUCUAACCAGAAAGCCACGGCUAACUACGUGCCAGCAGCCGCGGUAAUACGUAGGUGGCAAGCGUUGUCCGGAUUUAUUGGGCGUAAAGCGAGCGCAGGCGGUCAAUUAAGUCUGAUGUGAAAGCCCCCGGCUCAACCGGGGAGGGUCAUUGGAAACUGGUGGACUUGAGUGCAGAAGAGGAGGGUGGAAUUCCAGGUGUAACGGUGAAAUGCGUAGAUAUAUGGAGGAACACCAGUGGCGAAGGCGACUCUCUGGUCUGUAACUGACGCUGAGGCUCGAAAGCGGGGGUAGCAAACAGG